RNAcentral lists this small RNA (558 nucleotides) under uncultured Fusobacterium sp. Its description in RNAcentral is "bacterial SSU rRNA". The stretch from base 1 to 341 matches the Rfam family "Bacterial small subunit ribosomal RNA", at positions 1194 to 1533 of the family's 1533-position model. Lineage: Bacteria; Fusobacteriati; Fusobacteriota; Fusobacteriia; Fusobacteriales; Fusobacteriaceae. The record is from RNAcentral.
CAUGCCCCUUAUACGCUGGGCUACACACGUGCUACAAUGGGUAGUACAGAGAGUCGCAAAGCCGCGAGGUGGAGCUAAUCUCAGAAAACUAUUCUUAGUUCGGAUUGUACUCUGCAACUCGAGUACAUGAAGUUGGAAUCGCUAGUAAUCGCGAAUCAGCAAUGUCGCGGUGAAUACGUUCUCGGGUCUUGUACACACCGCCCGUCACACCACGAGAGUUGGUUGCACCUGAAGUAGCAGGCCUAACCGCAAGGAGGGAUGCUCCGAGGGUGUGAUUAGCGAUUGGGGUGAAGUCGUAACAAGGUAUCCGUACGGGAACGUGCGGAUGGAUCACCUCCUUUCUAAGGAGAAUAUGUCUUUCUCUAUUCUAUUGGUAAUGUUCUUAGAACAUUGCGCUGAACAUUGGAAACUAUAUAGUAGAACAAAACAAGAAAAAAUUAACUCUAACAAUUUCUUAGAGUUAGCUGUCAAAAAAUAGGUUAAAAUAAUUAAGGGCACACAAAGGAUGCCUAGGUAGUAAGAGCCGAUGAAGGACGUGGUAAGCUGCGAUAAGCCUAG